This is a long non-coding RNA of Fundulus heteroclitus (mummichog), 200 nucleotides long. RefSeq lists it as uncharacterized. NCBI's taxonomy places the organism in Eukaryota, Metazoa, Chordata, Actinopteri, Cyprinodontiformes, Fundulidae. The record is from RefSeq and is a predicted model, not a curated record. The transcript has 3 exons.
AAGAAACACUUCAGACAAGUUCAUUUUUUUUGUCUUCAAUACAGCUUUGAAAUCAAGAUUGGAAAAGCAUGGGGGUUGGAAAGAUAAUAACAUUGUUACUAUUGCUAAGAGGUGUUGUGACAAUGACUACUGCCUCGACGACUGAUGUGUCCACGACAGCUUCUUCAGACACAGCGACAGUUGUCACCAUCACAGCCACA